AAUUCUAAAUUGGCCAAACGAAUAUAUAUAUCUGAUCCUCCAACAGAGAAAUGUCGUAGGUCAAUUAGAUUUCCACUCCAUGACAGACAACCAAUGCCAGUAUAAUAUCCAUAAGCUACACAAGAACACUUCUCCAAACACUGCUUUCGACAAUCUUCUUUAUUCACAUUUGACCACUCUGCAAAGUCUGGCACUUUGAUCAU
Molecule: long non-coding RNA, 203 nt
Organism: Quercus robur (English oak)
Lineage: Eukaryota; Viridiplantae; Streptophyta; Magnoliopsida; Fagales; Fagaceae
Exons: 2
Source: RefSeq, a predicted model, not a curated record